This 352-nucleotide ribosomal RNA is filed under the name Staphylococcus epidermidis. RNAcentral's name for it is "bacterial SSU rRNA". It matches the Rfam family "Bacterial small subunit ribosomal RNA", at positions 57 to 399 of the family's 1533-position model. Lineage: Bacteria; Bacillati; Bacillota; Bacilli; Caryophanales; Staphylococcaceae. The record is from RNAcentral.
GCAGUCGAGCGAACAGACGAGGAGCUUGCUCCUCUGACGUUAGCGGCGGACGGGUGAGUAACACGUGGAUAACCUACCUAUAAGACUGGGAUAACUUCGGGAAACCGGAGCUAAUACCGGAUAAUAUAUUGAACCGCAUGGUUCAAUAGUGAAAGACGGUUUUGCUGUCACUUAUAGAUGGAUCCGCGCCGCAUUAGCUAGUUGGUAAGGUAACGGCUUACCAAGGCAACGAUGCGUAGCCGACCUGAGAGGGUGAUCGGCCACACUGGAACUGAGACACGGUCCAGACUCCUACGGGAGGCAGCAGUAGGGAAUCUUCCGCAAUGGGCGAAAGCCUGACGGAGCAACGCCG